UCAUCACAAUUUAAAUUUGAUGUCAGCGGAACAAGGCCGAGCAGUUCAAAAUUUUUCCAAAUUUUCUAUUCAAAAUUUACUGUGCAUCAUUUUCAUUAUGUCUAUUUUGAUAGGCUGCAGAGUAAAAGGGAUUUUUUACCUGUCUGGUUCCCAACGCUCUUUAUCAUUCCAGGGCCUUAGAUUUAAGUCAGACCAAUUAUCUAAGCAAACGCCCCGUGAAUAUAAUAGUGCGAAGUUACUGAAGGAGCAAUACCAGCAACUUAGGUACAUGAAGCGACAACAAAUUGCUGAACGUAGAAGACUGACCUAUAAAAUCUUGCACCUUCAAUAUUUAAUUGGCGAAGUAAAGAAUAUGAUACGAUACUGAAUGCUUCAAUGUCAUAGCAAGGAUGUUCAGGAUAGAAGCAAAGUCAAGGAAAACGUUUACUUUCGGAAAAGACAAUACGAACAACUUCAGCGACUCAAGAAACUGAAUGAAGAGCAACUGAAAAAAAUUAAUAAUGAAAUUGAUAAACUAAUGAAAGAGCUUAAAAACCUCAAGAAUGAUGUUAAUAAAGGCGAGGAUAAAGAAAAAUGAAUCCUUUUUCGAUUCAGUCUUAUCUAGAUUUUUUUUUUAGAUUAGAAUGCUGCCUGUGUGUAAGGCGCUUGAGUCCAUUCGGUUUGUCAAGCCGAUUUUUGAUGCAAUUCCACAGGGAUCGAUUUAUAUCAUGUCUCGGCAUUAUACUAAGGAACUCUAUGAGAGGGCCCGUGCUGUUGAGAAUGCACAUUUUUUAAAAAUCCAAAAUGAACAGCUCAAAAAUUUACGGAAUAAAAUUGCGAGGGAGAAUCGCAUGAGGGAGCACAAAGGGAAUCUGAAGCGGGAAACUCAGCAAGAGGAAGACAAUCGCAAUUUACAUAAAACACAAAAUGUGAUAACCCAGCAAGCAGAUAGUUAAAAUGGUUUUUGUAAAAAUUUUAGUAAAAUUAUGUCAGAGCGAAGCAUUGCCAAAUCGAUCAGUAGGCCGAAGCAUAUCUGCUAACUAUUUGACAAACCCCGUUUUUGGAAAAUAAAUUCAAAAUUUUUUAUUCGCUACCAUGUGGACCUGCGUCCGACACAGAUGUGGAGCAACCAAUGUGAUCGAGUUCCUGAAAGUGGCCAACCGCCAGAACUGCCACUUGACUGAACAAGAAAAGGCCAAAAUCGUUGAGGCCAAGAGCUCGGCAAAGUGGAGUAAGCAAGUUGAUAAUUUGUUGCAGAAACGCGAAAUGCUGUCCUUGAUUAAGGAAUAUAUCCUGAUGCAGGAGCACUACGUAAACCUGCGAUUAUUAACUAACAAACGACUGCUGACCUAUGCAACGAAAUACCUACAUGUUGCUAGAACGAGUUCUCCACACUGAACUGAUAGUUAAUACUAGCCGUUGAUAUGGGAUACGGGACGGUGGUCUUCACCUUAUUCAUUAAAAGUACUCAUCAUUUUAUUUAAAAUAGUUUGUAUUUCUCAUUUACAGUUGCUUUACAGGAAGCGUUACAUAACACGAGGUUUCAAAAAAAAUAUUAAAGAACAGAAAACUUA
Long non-coding RNA from Drosophila hydei, 1553 nucleotides. RefSeq lists it as uncharacterized. The record is from RefSeq and is a predicted model, not a curated record. The transcript is spliced from 9 exons. NCBI's taxonomy places the organism in Eukaryota, Metazoa, Arthropoda, Insecta, Diptera, Drosophilidae.